Molecule: ribosomal RNA, 492 nt
Filed under: uncultured bacterium
Lineage: Bacteria
Description: partial 16S ribosomal RNA
Rfam family: Bacterial small subunit ribosomal RNA
Source: RNAcentral
AGUGAACGCUGGCGGUAGGCCUAACACAUGCAAGUCGAACGGCAGCACAGUAAGAGCUUGCUCUUACGGGUGGCGAGUGGCGGACGGGUGAGGAAUACAUCGGAAUCUACUUUUUCGUGGGGGAUAACGUAGGGAAACUUACGCUAAUACCGCAUACGACGUACGGGUGAAAGCAGGGGAUCUUCGGACCUUGCGUGAUUGAAUGAGCCGAUGUCGGAUUAGCUAGUUGGCGGGGUAAAGGCACACCAAGGCGACGAUCCGUAGCUGGUCUGAGAGGAUGAUCAGCCACACUGGAACUGAGACACGGUCCAGACUCCUACGGGAGGCAGCAGUAGGGAAUAUUGGGCAAUGGGCGCAAGCCUGAUCCAGCCAUGCCGCGUGAGUGAAGAAGGCCUUCGGGUCGUAAAGCCCUUUUGUUAGGAAAGAAAAGCAGCGUGUUAAUACCCCGCUGUUCUGACGGUACCCAAAGAAUAAGCACCGGCUAACUUCGUG